Molecule: ribosomal RNA, 452 nt
Filed under: uncultured bacterium
Lineage: Bacteria
Description: bacterial SSU rRNA
Rfam family: Bacterial small subunit ribosomal RNA
Source: RNAcentral
AGAGUUUGAUCCUGGCUCAGAACGAACGCUGGCGGCAUGCCUAACACAUGCAAGUCGAACGAGACCUUCGGGUCUAGUGGCGCACGGGUGCGUAACGCGUGGGAAUCUGCCCUUGGGUUCGGAAUAACAGUUAGAAAUGACUGCUAAUACCGGAUAAUGUCUUCGGACCAAAGAUUUAUCGCCCAGGGAUGAGCCCGCGUAGGAUUAGCUAGUUGGUGAGGUAAAGGCUCACCAAGGCGACGAUCCUUAGCUGGUCUGAGAGGAUGAUCAGCCACACUGGGACUGAGACACGGCCCAGACUCCUACGGGAGGCAGCAGUGGGGAAUAUUGGACAAUGGGCGAAAGCCUGAUCCAGCAAUGCCGCGUGAGUGAUGAAGGCCUUAGGGUUGUAAAGCUCUUUACCCGGGAUGAUAAUGACAGUACCGGGAGAAUAAGCCCCGGCUAACUCCGUG